This 243-nucleotide ribosomal RNA is filed under the name uncultured bacterium. RNAcentral's name for it is "partial 16S ribosomal RNA". It matches the Rfam family "Bacterial small subunit ribosomal RNA", at positions 111 to 354 of the family's 1533-position model. The record is from RNAcentral.
UAACACGUAGAGAACCUACCUUACACAGGGGGACAACAGUUGGAAACGACUGCUAAUACCGCAUAACACAUAGGUGUCGCAUGGCAUUUAUGCCAAAGAUUUAUCGCUGAAAGAUGGCCUCGCGUCUGAUUAGCUAGUUGGUGAGGUAACGGCUCACCAAGGCGACGAUCAGUAGCCGGACUGAGAGGUUGGCCGGCCACAUUGGGACUGAGAUACGGCCCAGACUCCUACGGGAGGCAGCAG